Chiloscyllium plagiosum (whitespotted bambooshark) is the source of this 1074-nucleotide long non-coding RNA. RefSeq lists it as uncharacterized. The record is from RefSeq and is a predicted model, not a curated record. NCBI's taxonomy places the organism in Eukaryota, Metazoa, Chordata, Chondrichthyes, Orectolobiformes, Hemiscylliidae.
CUUAAGAAAAUGGAUUUUACAAUUUUUAUAAAUUGUUUGGUAAGAUGGUGUUUUUUCCCCAGAAUCCUGAGUCGUGUUUAUUCUUUCAUGGGACAUGAUUGUCAGUGGCUGGCCAGAAUUUAUUGCACACCCGCAACGCCCCUCGGUGAUGAGCUGCCUUCUUCAACUCUUGCAGUCCGUGUACUGCUAUACGUUGAUCCAUAGUGUCCUUAAGAAGGGAUUUCUAGGAUUUUGACACAGCGACAGUGAAGGAGCGGUGAUAUAUUUCCAAGUCAGGAUGGCAGCAGCGGUGUACUAUCUACAAGUGACAGUGGAGGAGGUAGUGGAUGUUCAUCUAUGUGAUGUCAAGCAGGUUGCUUUAUUCUGGAUGGUAUCAAGUUUCUUCAGUGUUUUUGAAGCUGUGCUCAUCCAGAUGAAUCAAAUCGGCUGAAGACUAACUUCCAUGGUGCUGGGGACCACCAGUGGAGGCCAAGAUGGAUCAUCCAUGCGGCACCUCUGACUAAAGGUGUUCUUCGACAAAACUCUAUUGGUUCAAUGGCAUAAUUGAGAAUGCAAGAAUAUUCAAUGUUCUAUUUUACAUUUCUACAUGUGGUUGAAUGAACGAAUUGAUGCCAGUGUCAUUUGUGAUGAAGGAACAGGCAAAAAAAACAAGCAAAUUCUCAACUCUGAAAAUAAAAGAUUCUAACCAAUACAAAACUCCCCACCUCUCUUCAUAUGUUCUUCCAAAUUUCAGUUAACAUAAAUCAUUUUAAUGUGUACCUGUCAUCUCACUAAUGCCUCAUUAUUUAGCACAGGGUGAGUCAUUGCUUUGGCUUUAGCAUAUAUUGUUCCACAUUGAGCUAAACACAAUUUAAUACAGAGAUACGUUAUGCCCAAAAGUAGGCCUGGCGUAGACAAACCCCAUACACUUAGUUUGAAUUCCUCAUGCUAGUCAUUAUAGUUGCUGCCAAUAUGCAGAUUUGAGAUGAAAGAGUCCCACUGGACCUAAAUUGAGUAAGAUAACUCACAAACUGGUAUCCAAGAGUGCAUACCAUGGAGGGCCCACCUGCAUCUUGGUUAGAACAGUUAAAUUGC